This 253-nucleotide ribosomal RNA is filed under the name uncultured bacterium. RNAcentral's name for it is "partial 16S ribosomal RNA". It matches the Rfam family "Bacterial small subunit ribosomal RNA", at positions 524 to 776 of the family's 1533-position model. The record is from RNAcentral.
UACAGAGGGGGCAAGCGUUGUUCGGAAUUACUGGGCGUAAAGGGCGCGUAGGCGGCCUUCUAAGUCGAACGUGAAAUCCCUGGGCUCAACCCAGGAACUGCGUCCGAUACUGGGAGGCUUGAAUCCGGGAGAGGGAUGCGGAAUUCCAGGUGUAGCGGUGAAAUGCGUAGAUAUCUGGAGGAACACCGGUGGCGAAGGCGGCAUCCUGGACCGGCAUUGACGCUGAGGCGCGAAAGCGUGGGGAGCGAACAGG